CUAUUAUCUGUAUCAUCAGUGCUGGCAUGAGUGGGUCACAAUUUCAAUUGCUACUGUUCCUGAUAUAAUAAACAUAAAUUAAUGAUGUUUUUCUUUUGUAGAUCAUUUUGUUUUUAUGUAAUGGCAAUUUUUUUGUGUAAUUGCUGCAAUGUUACCAUUUUUAUUUUAAUUUAGGCCCUCUCUAAGUCUUUGUUAUCACCAAGUUCCUUUUUCCAGUGGGAGAUGGGAACAGCUUGGUUAAGUAGGCUGCAGUGUCUUUUGUCCUGACUAUGUUGGCAGACGUUCAAGCAAGUUUAAAACUACUAAGCUUAGGGGCUUCCAGUAAUGCCUUUGUAAGCAGUUUUUCAUUCUGAGCUUCAAAGAGACUGGUAUUAGAGGAUAGGAGUUGUGUUCACUUUCACUUUGAAAAGACUGGCAGCCCCAUUCUGGUUCUUCGCCAUUUAGGCCUUCCACAGUUCUUGUCAGGUGGCAGACGGUGGAGCAGGAGCUUGGAGCAUCUCAGGAGCCCCUGCAUCUUUUGCAUCAGUCCUCUUCCGCAUAGAUUUUGAGAUGCUCAUGCCUGCUGGAUGCACGUAGUGGCCAGGAGCUGUUGAAUGGAUUUUCCUCGCGGCGUCUCCGGGGCUGAUUGGCAGUGUGCUACAGGGGGCAUUGAACCCCCAACCUCUUUUCUACUCUGGAGGCAAUGAGAUUAACUCCCAGGCCCCAUUUACCUCCUUC
RNAcentral lists this long non-coding RNA (717 nucleotides) under Equus caballus (horse). Its description in RNAcentral is "lncRNA (ENSECAG00000047488.1)". The record is from RNAcentral. Lineage: Eukaryota; Metazoa; Chordata; Mammalia; Perissodactyla; Equidae.